AUAUCAGUCAUGCAUAGCAUAUCAAUAAGCGGAGGAAAAGAAACUAACAAGGAUUCCCUUAGUAACGGCGAGUGAAGCGGGAAGAGCUCAAAUUUGAAAUCUUCAAGGUUCUACCUUGACGAAUUGUAGUUUAUAGAAGUGUUUUCUGUUAGUAGAGUGGCAAAAGUUCUUUGGAAUAGGACAUCAUAGAGGGUGAGAAUCCCGUAUUUGGUCAUUCUUUCUAGCUUUGUGAUACACUUUCAACGAGUCGGAUUGUUUGGGAAUGCAGUCCAAAAUGGGUGGUAAAUUUCAUCUAAAGCUAAAUAUUGGCGAGAGACCGAUAGCGAACAAGUACCGUGAGGGAAAGAUGAAAAGAACUUUGAAAAGAGAGUUAAACAGUACAUGAAAUUGUCAAAAGGGAAGCGUUUGACACCAGUGUUGUUUUUCCGAAAAUCAAUUACGUAUGUUUUAGUUUUUGAGGAGUUAUGACUUCAUCGGCUUGCUCCUUUCUUUAUGAAACUUUCUUAAUGCACUUUUCGGUUAACAAGUCAACAUCAAUUUCUUUUGUUGUAAAAGGGUAUGAGGAAGGUGGCUUUCUUUUCGGAGAAAGUGUUUAUAGCCUUGUGCCUCUGCAAUCGGAGAGAUUGAGGUCUGCAGCGUAGAUCCUUCGGGGUUAGAUACGUUUGUGCUAAGUUAUAGCUUUUCAUAGACAACUUGUUGACUAUGUUUAGUCUUGUAGCUUACUCGCUGUACGCUAUUUUACCUACGCUUAGGAUGUUGAUGUGAUACUGCGAGCA
Molecule: ribosomal RNA, 776 nt
Filed under: uncultured Neocallimastigales
Lineage: Eukaryota; Fungi; Neocallimastigomycota; Neocallimastigomycetes; Neocallimastigales
Description: partial large subunit ribosomal RNA
Rfam family: Eukaryotic large subunit ribosomal RNA
Source: RNAcentral